Molecule: ribosomal RNA, 560 nt
Filed under: uncultured bacterium
Lineage: Bacteria
Description: bacterial SSU rRNA
Rfam family: Bacterial small subunit ribosomal RNA
Source: RNAcentral
CUACGGGAGGCAGCAGUGGGGAAUCUUAGACAAUGGGCGAAAGCCUGAUCUAGCCAUGCCGCGUGAGUGAUGAAGGCCCUAGGGUCGUAAAGCUCUUUCGCCAGGGAUGAUAAUGACAGUACCUGGUAAAGAAACCCCGGCUAACUCCGUGCCAGCAGCCGCGGUAAUACGGAGGGGGUUAGCGUUGUUCGGAAUUACUGGGCGUAAAGCGCACGUAGGCGGAUCAGAAAGUUGGGGGUGAAAUCCCGGGGCUCAACCCCGGAACUGCCUCCAAAACUCCUGGUCUUGAGUUCGAGAGAGGUGAGUGGAAUUCCAAGUGUAGAGGUGAAAUUCGUAGAUAUUUGGAGGAACACCAGUGGCGAAGGCGGCUCACUGGCUCGAUACUGACGCUGAGGUGCGAAAGUGUGGGGAGCAAACAGGAUUAGAUACCCUGGUAGUCCACACCGUAAACGAUGAAUGCCAGUCGUCGGGUAGUAUACUGCUCGGUGACACACCUAACGGAUUAAGCAUUCCGCCUGGGGAGUACGGUCGCAAGAUUAAAACUCAAAGGAAUUGACGGA